This 479-nucleotide ribosomal RNA is filed under the name Enterococcus faecalis. RNAcentral describes it as "bacterial SSU rRNA". It matches the Rfam family "Bacterial small subunit ribosomal RNA", at positions 18 to 469 of the family's 1533-position model. The record is from RNAcentral. Lineage: Bacteria; Bacillati; Bacillota; Bacilli; Lactobacillales; Enterococcaceae.
CCUGGCUCAGGACGAACGCUGGCGGCGUGCCUAAUACAUGCAAGUCGAACGCUUCUUUCCUCCCGAGUGCUUGCACUCAAUUGGAAAGAGGAGUGGCGGACGGGUGAGUAACACGUGGGUAACCUACCCAUCAGAGGGGGAUAACACUUGGAAACAGGUGCUAAUACCGCAUAACAGUUUAUGCCGCAUGGCAUAAGAGUGAAAGGCGCUUUCGGGUGUCGCUGAUGGAUGGACCCGCGGUGCAUUAGCUAGUUGGUGAGGUAACGGCUCACCAAGGCCACGAUGCAUAGCCGACCUGAGAGGGUGAUCGGCCACACUGGGACUGAGACACGGCCCAGACUCCUACGGGAGGCAGCAGUAGGGAAUCUUCGGCAAUGGACGAAAGUCUGACCGAGCAACGCCGCGUGAGUGAAGAAGGUUUUCGGAUCGUAAAACUCUGUUGUUAGAGAAGAACAAGGACGUUAGUAACUGAACKCCCC